Molecule: transfer RNA, 75 nt
Filed under: Bacillota bacterium
Lineage: Bacteria; Bacillati; Bacillota
Description: Firmicutes bacterium (anaerobic digester metagenome) tRNA-Arg
Rfam family: tRNA
About the family: Transfer RNA (tRNA) molecules are approximately 80 nucleotides in length. Their secondary structure includes four short double-helical elements and three loops (D, anti-codon, and T loops).
Source: RNAcentral
GCGCCCGUAGCUCAGUGGAUAGAGCAAUAGACUCCGGAUCUAUGAGCGCAGGUUCGACUCCUGCCGGGCGCACCA